Molecule: ribosomal RNA, 253 nt
Filed under: uncultured bacterium
Lineage: Bacteria
Description: partial 16S ribosomal RNA
Rfam family: Bacterial small subunit ribosomal RNA
Source: RNAcentral
UACGGAGGGGGCAAGCGUUACUCGGAAUUACUGGGCGUAAAGCGCACGCAGGCGGUUGAUUGAGUCAGAUGUGAAAUCCCCGGGCUUAACCUGGGAAGUGCAUUUGAUACUGGGCAGCUAGAGUCUUGUAGAGGGGAGUAGAAUGCCAGGUGUAGCGGUGAAAUGCGUAGAGAUGUGGAGGAAUACCGGUGGCGAAGGCGGCCCCCUGGACAAAGACUGACGCUCAGGUGCGAAAGCGUGGGGAGCAAACAGG